AUGCCCGAUGAUUACAACAAGACGCGUUAUUACGAGGACCAGUGCUGGAACUCCCUUCCUGUUUUCUGUCAUCCCUCCCAUCUUUUUCUCAGUCCCCCAAAUUUCACUUCCUAUCCUUCUCUUUCUACUCCCUCCCCCCAAAUCCUUGGAGUAUCCAGUGUCCUGUGAGCAAGAUUAUGAGAUAUGAGGGCAA
Small nucleolar RNA from Anolis sagrei ordinatus, 193 nucleotides. RefSeq annotates it as small nucleolar RNA SNORD97. NCBI's taxonomy places the organism in Eukaryota, Metazoa, Chordata, Lepidosauria, Squamata, Anolidae. The record is from RefSeq and is a predicted model, not a curated record.